RNAcentral lists this small nuclear RNA (47 nucleotides) under Cervus elaphus hippelaphus. Lineage: Eukaryota; Metazoa; Chordata; Mammalia; Artiodactyla; Cervidae. The record is from RNAcentral.
AUACUCUGGUUUCUCUUCAGAUUGUGUGACUCUUUUGCCUUUCACUA